GACGAACGCUGGCGGCGUGCCUAAUACAUGCAAGUAGAACGCUGAAGGAGGAGCUUGCUUCUCUGGAUGAGUUGCGAACGGGUGAGUAACGCGUAGGUAACCUGCCUGGUAGCGGGGGAUAACUAUUGGAAACGAUAGCUAAUACCGCAUAACAGUAGAUGUUGCAUGACAUUUGCUUAAAAGGUGCAAUUGCAUCACUACCAGAUGGACCUGCGUUGUAUUAGCUAGUUGGUGGGGUAACGGCUCACCAAGGCGACGAUACAUAGCCGACCUGAGAGGGUGAUCGGCCACACUGGGACUGAGACACGGCCCAGACUCCUACGGGAGGCAGCAGUAGGGAAUCUUCGGCAAUGGACGGAAGUCUGACCGAGCAACGCCGCGUGAGUGAAGAAGGUUUUCGGAUCGUAAAGCUCUGUUGUAAGAGAAGAACGGGUGUGAGAGUGGAAAGUUCACACUGUGACGGUAUCUUACCAGAAAGGGACGGCUAACUACGUGCCAGCAGCCGCGGUAAUACGUAGGUCCCGAGCGUUGUCCGGAUUUAUUGGGCGUAAAGCGAGCGCAGGCGGUUAGAUAAGUCUGAAGUUAAAGGCUGUGGCUUAACCAUAGUACGCUUUGGAAACUGUUUAACUUGAGUGCAAGAGGGGAGAGUGGAAUUCCAUGUGUAGCGGUGAAAUGCGUAGAUAUAUGGAGGAACACCGGUGGCGAAAGCGGCUCUCUGGCUUGUAACUGACGCUGAGGCUCGAAAGCGUGGGGAGCAAACAGG
Molecule: ribosomal RNA, 763 nt
Filed under: uncultured Streptococcus sp.
Lineage: Bacteria; Bacillati; Bacillota; Bacilli; Lactobacillales; Streptococcaceae
Description: bacterial SSU rRNA
Rfam family: Bacterial small subunit ribosomal RNA
Source: RNAcentral